RNAcentral lists this ribosomal RNA (876 nucleotides) under Triticum aestivum (bread wheat). Its description in RNAcentral is "partial small subunit ribosomal RNA". Lineage: Eukaryota; Viridiplantae; Streptophyta; Magnoliopsida; Poales; Poaceae. The record is from RNAcentral.
AUGACUAUAUUCCGAACAAAGAUGAUAUGCCGAGACGGAGCUAAAGUUGAGGAAACAUUUGCAAUGGUUUCUCAGAAUAGAUGGCGCAUAGAAUUUAACCUCCCAAGUAGACUAUCUCCAGCAGAGGAAAAACUUCAGCCGAAUCGACACGAAGCUCCGCACCCAGGUGGUCGCUCCGGCGGCAGCAACACAGUCGUCGUCAUCGGUGUUGAUGAGGAGCGUGCAUGCCAAUCAAAUGAAGGCGGAGGCGUAGAACAACAUGACCAAGAAGUAGGCGAGAUCGAGGCGAGAAAGGACGGCCGGAUAUGCAACCUGACUGAAGAAGCCACAAGUCAAAGGAAGGAGGUGAAGAUACAGGAGUGGGAGAACUGCCAGAAAUCCAAAUUCAAAGCCAAGUUGAGGCAUGCAGAGGUGCAGGUGAAGGCGCGGAUGAAGAACAUCCUGACCAAGAGGAUGUCCACAUUGAGCCACAAGGUGGAGGGGAAGCAUGCAAGGGUCGAGGUGAAGCAUGCAAGGGUCGAGGUGAAGCGGAACCGGCGUGCAGUCCGGUUGGCGCGACAGGUGAAGUGCAUCCGGAAGACCGGCCGUGUGUCCCAUAUGGAGAGCUACGUUCUAAACAAAAGAGAACACUACGAGAAGGUUCUUGGAGGCCCCUUCCUUGUGGAGCUAGUCAGGCUGCUGAAGCUACUGAUACCUGAAAUCAAGGCAACUAAGAGGACGUCUAGAUCAUGGGGAGUCAAGACCCAAAUGACAACCCUUUAUGAGUCCUUCCUCAAGGGCCUGGAAACAAUCAUGACCCUGACAAGUGAUCAUGAUUACCCAAAAAUCCUGAAGGACAUGAUGAAGCAUAUUCACCUUGAAGGAGAUGCAGUCUAG